This 739-nucleotide ribosomal RNA is filed under the name Salmonella enterica. RNAcentral's name for it is "partial 23S ribosomal RNA". It matches the Rfam family "Bacterial large subunit ribosomal RNA", at positions 2064 to 2802 of the family's 2925-position model. Lineage: Bacteria; Pseudomonadati; Pseudomonadota; Gammaproteobacteria; Enterobacterales; Enterobacteriaceae. The record is from RNAcentral.
GUGUACCCGCGGCAAGACGGAAAGACCCCGUGAACCUUUACUAUAGCUUGACACUGAACAUUGAGCCUUGAUGUGUAGGAUAGGUGGGAGGCUUUGAAGCGUGGACGCCAGUCUGCGUGGAGCCGACCUUGAAAUACCACCCUUUAAUGUUUGAUGUUCUAACGUGGACCCGUUACCCGGGUUGCGGACAGUGUCUGGUGGGUAGUUUGACUGGGGCGGUCUCCUCCUAAAGAGUAACGGAGGAGCACGAAGGUUGGCUAAUCCUGGUCGGACAUCAGGAGGUUAGUGCAAUGGCAUAAGCCAGCUUGACUGCGAGCGUGACGGCGCGAGCAGGUGCGAAAGCAGGUCAUAGUGAUCCGGUGGUUCUGAAUGGAAGGGCCAUCGCUCAACGGAUAAAAGGUACUCCGGGGAUAACAGGCUGAUACCGCCCAAGAGUUCAUAUCGACGGCGGUGUUUGGCACCUCGAUGUCGGCUCAUCACAUCCUGGGGCUGAAGUAGGUCCCAAGGGUAUGGCUGUUCGCCAUUUAAAGUGGUACGCGAGCUGGGUUUAGAACGUCGUGAGACAGUUCGGUCCCUAUCUGCCGUGGGCGCUGGAGAACUGAGGGGGGCUGCUCCUAGUACGAGAGGACCGGAGUGGACGCAUCACUGGUGUUCGGGUUGUCAUGCCAAUGGCACUGCCCGGUAGCUAAAUGCGGAAGAGAUAAGUGCUGAAAGCAUCUAAGCACGAAACUUGCCCCGA